This is a long non-coding RNA of Magallana angulata, 1348 nucleotides long. RefSeq lists it as uncharacterized. NCBI's taxonomy places the organism in Eukaryota, Metazoa, Mollusca, Bivalvia, Ostreida, Ostreidae. The transcript is spliced from 2 exons. The record is from RefSeq and is a predicted model, not a curated record.
UUAUAGUUAUAUGUCAUUUCCCACUUAAUGAGUUGUUAUAGCUGUUAUCAUGGUAAUGUUUUGACCAUGUCUCAGAUACUGCAUGUGCCCACAAAAAAGUGUAAUCUAGGACACACCCUUUUGUUUUGAUAAUGACAGCAUUUAGCUUUGUAAUGAUAGCUAGUGUAUCUUUUUUCUUCUAAUCUACAGAUUUACCUGCGUCUUCCAGAUGAUCUGAAGAUCGGGAAUAUAGAAAAUAUUAUCAAUUUGAUAUUGCUAAUGACCCAGUCAAGUCUGCUGAAGCCCAGAAGUUUCCAGACCAUGACAUUAAUGAAUAUUUCUUGAAUGGAAUGCAUGAGGAUUAGAAUGGAACCUUAUUCUUCCUUUUUAUGGAGCCAACCACAGAAGAAUUUGUUCUAUACACAUCAUUCAUAACAUUCUUAUUUAUGUUGCAUAACUUUAAAUGUUACUGGAUGAAUUGUGUUCACAUGAUGAAUACCAGCAAACCUUUUAUCGAGUGCACUUAAUUUGUAUUUUUCCUACCCAUCCAUCUAACAUAUGUUUUUAUGUAGCAUAUUCAUAUACAUGUAACAUUUUUGGAAACAGCUAUUUUUUUUAAAUUGGAAUUUAGCCUUACUAUUUUAUACAAGUUUUUUUUAAAGGGACUUGGACACGAUUUUAGAUCAAAAAUUUGUUUUGAGUUUCUUUAUGCAUAAAAUGAUUUACUUGCACAUUUUGAAUAAUUGACCAUAAUUUGAAUGUUAGAAGUCAAGUUAUAAGAGAGAUACAGGGAUAAGAAUUUAUUGUUAUGUAAACAAAGCUCGAGUCUUAUGUUUGUUUACAAAUAAUAUAAAGUAUGAAAUUACAUGUACCAUACUGAUUCGAUGUGAUCAUAAAUGAUAUUAAAGGAUAUUAUUAAUAGAAAAAAGCAACAUUUGAAUGAAACUUACACCAAUAAAACACAUAUGUAAAUAAUAACAAGACCCGCGCUUUGUUUUAAAACAAAGAAUAUUUAAUUCUUUAUCUUUCAUUUAACUCAGUAUUUGACUUUCAAAAUUAGUAUUAUGAUUUUUUUAGAAUGAUAUAUGCAAUUUCAUUAAUUUAUUUUUCAUUUUAAGAAAAUUCAUUUUAAAAAAGAUCUCUUACAACCUGUGUAUUUUUUUUUCAGUUUACAUAACACAGUGUAUUAAUUGAAUGUAGUUGUGUAGAUUUAUACAUGUACCUACAAGCAAUAUACAAUUAAUAUUCACCAGGUACAUGUACCAGCCUACUAUAUUUGAUAAAUAAAUGUACUUCUUUCAUGCCUUUUUCAUGCCUUUUACUCAUUGUUAUAUGUAUUAUUUAUAAUUAAAAUACUUUGAAAACUUUU